This is a long non-coding RNA of Taeniopygia guttata (zebra finch), 750 nucleotides long. RefSeq lists it as uncharacterized. NCBI's taxonomy places the organism in Eukaryota, Metazoa, Chordata, Aves, Passeriformes, Estrildidae. The record is from RefSeq and is a predicted model, not a curated record.
AUGACUCACCUGUCCUCUAUCCGAACCCAGAGGUCAUUGAACUGCCGCUGGCGAUGGUGUUUGUGCUGCUUCUUGUGCCAUUUCUUCUGCCUGCCAAACUCCUCCAGCUGGCUGAUGCUGUCAGGCAGCAAGAGAAAACAAGUCAUUGUUUCAACUGCAACAAGAAUGAUGUCUUCUCAUCCAGUCAGGACUGGGGACAAGGAAGCCUAGGCUGAUGAUGGAAGCACGUGGAAGCUUGGCAGCUGGGAUGGGAUAUGUGAGACCUGAACUCCAGCAGGUAAUGAAGAAAAAAGGGGUAAAUGACCUGUCCAAAACCUCCUUGAAACAAUUCUGCCAGAGCUCCUCAAUCCUUUCUGAAGUAUUACCACCUCUUGUACAUGACUGGAAUGAUGCAGAAAAAGACCUUUUAUUUUCAUCUUCUAGAGUUUCACUGAUUUUAGAAGAAAGUCAAUAUAAACUCUCUCCCUUGGUAUGCAGCCAUGUGAACUUAUUGUGAGCUAAGAUAGCUGAAACAAAAACCUAAUAAACCAGGAAUGACAUAAAGUUAUUUUUCUCCCCUACCUUCAGUAGAAGUUCAUAUUGAGUCUUAAUUGCAAGAAAUUUUCCUGUCCCUGGGAUGGGCCAAUGAGUUGUACAUACAGAAAAUGGGAGAGAAUUAAUAGGCAAUAUGAAGCUGUGGUCUGCAAAACUAUUUCUAUUACAUGGAUGCUAUGACUUUUAUGACAGAAACAAUUAAAGCCACGUGAAAAA